CACAAAUACACACACUGACCACAGAGAGCACUAAAGCCACUAUGAUGGAGGAGCAGAGAAAUAAUGCAUCCCUUUGGAUAAACACGUGCAUGGUUGCUGAGAAAAUAAACACAACAGUCUGCGGAGGGAUACUUCAGGAGAGAGGAGAGAGCACUCAGAUGGAUACUUCAGGAGAGAGAGAUCAGAGGGAUACUUCAGGAGAGAGGAGAGAGAGAUCAGAGGGAUACUUCAGGAGAGAGGAGAGAGCACUCAGAUGGAUACUUCAGGAGAGAGGAGAGAGCACUCAGAUGGAUACUUCAGGAGAGAGGAGAGAGCACUCAGAUGGAUACUUCAGGAGGGAGGAGAGAGCACUCAGAUGGAUACUUCAGGAGAGAGGAGAGAGCACUCAGAUGGAUACUUCAGGAGGGAGGAGAGAGCACUCAGAUGGAUACUUCAGGAGGGAGGAGAGAGAGAUCAGAGGGAUACUUCAGGAGAGAGGAGAGAGAGAUCAGAGGGAUACUUCAGGAGGGAGGAGAGAGAGAUCAGUGGGAUAAUUCAGGAGAGAGGAGGAAGAGAUCAGUGGGUUACUUCAUGAGAGAGAGAGAUCAGAGGGAUACUUCAGGAGAGAGGAGAGAGAUAUCAGAGGGAUACUUCAGGAGGGAGGAGAGAGAGAUCAGAGGGAUACUUCAGGAGAGAGGAGAGAGAGAUCAGAGGGAUACUUCAGGAGGGAGGAGAGAGAGAUCAGUGGGAUAAUUCAGGAGAGAGGAGAGAGCACUCAGAUGGAUACUUCAGGAGGGAGGAGAGAGAGAUCAGAGGGAUACUUCAGGAGGGAGGAGAGAGAGAUCAGAGGGAUACUUCAGGAGAGAGGAGAGAGAGAUCAGAGGGAUACUUCAGGAGGGAGGAGAGAGAGAUCAGUGGGAUAAUUCAGGAGAGAGGAGGAAGAGAUCAGUGGGUUACUUCAUGAGAGAGAGAGAUCAGAGGGAUACUUCAGGAGAGAGGAGAGAGAGAUCAGAGGGAUACUUCAGGAGAGAGGAGAGAGCACUCAGAUGGAUACUUCAGGAGAGAGGAGAGAGAGAUCAGAGGGAUACUUCAGGAGAGAGGAGAGAGAGAUCAGAGGGAUACUUCAGGAGAGAGGAGAGAGAGAUCAGAGGGAUACUUCAGGAGGGAGGAGAGAGAGAUCAGAGGGAUAAUUCAGGAGAGAGGAGAGAGAGAUCAGAGGGAUAAUUCAGGAGAGAGGAGAGAGAGAUCAGAGGGAUACUUCAGGAGAGAGGAGAGAGAGAUCAGUGGGUUACUUCAUGAGAGAGAGAGAUCAGAGGGAUACUUCAGGAGAGAGGAGAGAGAGAUCAGAGGGAUACUUCAGGAGGGAUGAGAGAGAGAUCAGAGGGAUACUUCAGGAGAGAGGAGAGAGCACUCAGAUGGAUACUUCAGGAGGGAGGAGAGAGAGAUCAGAGGGAUACUUCGGGAGAGAGGAGAGAGAGAUCAGAGGGGUACUUCAGGAGGGAUGAGAGAGAGAUCAGAGGGAUACUUCAGGAGAGAGGAGAGAGCACUCAGAUGGAUACUUCAGGAGGGAGGAGAGAGAGAUCAGAGGGAUACUUCGGGAGAGAGGAGAGAGAGAUCAGAGGGGUACUUCAGGAGGGAUGAGAGAGAGAUCAGAGGGAUACUUCAGGAGAGAGGAGAGAGAGAUCAGAUGGAUACUUCAGGAGGUAGGAGGGAGAGAUCAGAGGGAUACUUCAGGAGAGAGGAGAGAGCACUCCGAUGGAUACUUCAGGAGGGAGGAGAGAGAGAUCAGAGGGAUACUUCAGGAGAGAGGAGAGAGAGAUCAGAGGGAUACUUCAGGAGAGAGAGAUCAGUAGGAUACUUCAGGAGAGAGAGAUCAGUAGGAUACUUCAGGAGAGAGAGAUCAGUGGGAUACUUCAGGAGAGAGGAGAGAGAGAGAUCGUUGGG
Molecule: long non-coding RNA, 1923 nt
Organism: Oncorhynchus tshawytscha (Chinook salmon)
Lineage: Eukaryota; Metazoa; Chordata; Actinopteri; Salmoniformes; Salmonidae
Source: Ensembl